Molecule: long non-coding RNA, 22284 nt
Filed under: Triticum aestivum (bread wheat)
Lineage: Eukaryota; Viridiplantae; Streptophyta; Magnoliopsida; Poales; Poaceae
Description: long non-coding RNA (TAES_LNC009787)
Source: RNAcentral
UUUUUUUUUGGUAAAGUUUGAAAAAUAAGCAUGUAAAGCAUCGAUUGUUGUUUGUGUAUUGAGAAUCAUUUUAUUGAAGCAAACAAAGGGUUUGUGCACUGGCAAUCAUUUUAUUGAAAUAAACAAAGGGUUUGUGCACUUGCAAGUUUAGAUCAGGCCUUGCUUGGAUUAUUGUUAAUACGUAGAGCAUGCAAAAAGUUGUGGUAUUAAAGUAAAUGUUUUUGUUAUUUUGUCGCCUUCAAUGCUUGAAUGAUAUAGAUGUCAUAGAUGUUAAAAUUUGAGUGCACUAAUUCGGACUCUGUUGUAUGAAACAAGAAAUAUAUUCAAUUGUAGUGCCAGACCGCACAACCAUGUGGUAGUGGUGGAGAAUCUUGAUAAUAGAACUGAAUGAUUCUGUUAAAUACAGGUUGGAGUGAUUCUGUUAAAUGCAGGUUGGAACCAUGUGACUUUGGUUUUGCAUGUUCCAUACAUAAGGAACAAGAUCCACUAACCAUGGGCAUAAAAAUAAACUAUACUGGGAUCACAAACACAUCUUCAAGGAUGAUGGAUCAAAACUUUGGUUUCUCUUUCUGUUUCUAUAGUAUCAUGUACAUUUAUACAGUAUAGUGUAUACACAUGGGAACAUUGUAUGAAGAUCAGCUAUUCCUUAAAAGGCAGAUGCCAAUCGGAGGUCGUCAAGAGUGACUUGGGAGUAUCUAUGAGCUAAGGAUGUUGAGUAGAGAAACUCUGCUCUGGACUAACUUCCUGAACAGAUGUCCUGCUCCGAUCUCAAGAUCUACGAUACUGCACUCUAACUCUGACAAUUGCUCUUCCUUGCAGAAAACUGACUUCUUUUUGUGAAAUGCCUUGAAAACAAGAGACUGUUUAGGCAUUUCAAUUUGCUUUGACAAGAGACGGAGUGUGGACUCCAGCAGAGGGACAGAGAUCUCCCUGGCCUUGGCCAAGAGCAUGACCAUCCUGCAAUCUACAGAAGUCUUCUUCGCGGUCUUCUUGAAAUGAUUCUUGGCCUUCUUCGCCAAGCGGGUGUAAGACUGGAUCUUGGCUUGAGUAGCUGCAUCAUCCCCUUUCCUUAGAGCCACUUGCAGCUCUUGGAUGAUGGCCUUCAUCUUGGCAAAGAUCUCUUGCAUGAUGCUGCAGAGAUCUAGCAGCUCAAGAGAACCUUCCAUUUCUCCAUCCAACAUGUUCCUCUGCUGGGAGGAGAAAACAUGGUGGCUUGGUAGGCAAAUAAUCUCUUCAAGACCAUCGUAGAUGUUUGCAGGACUCCUGAGACCAUCGCACAUCAUGCUGAUGGAAUUGGAGGAAGAGAUGCUUGCUUCUAGGCUGUGAAGCUCUUGCUCGACUUGGGUCUCACUGACGUGAGGCCUAGAAGGCAAACUUAUCGAUCUUUGGUGGAAAGCCAUAUCUGAGCUUGAAGCUUUUCUCAGUAUAUAUUGUGGUUGAUGAAGAGUUGAAGAAAGGAACACUUAUUUGUUUGAUGUGUCUACUGCUCUGCUGAGGCCUAUUUAUACAGAAAUGUAGAAGCAGUAGCAUUUGAUUGGUAGACACGAAGAAUCAUGCAAUUACAUCUCCCACAUGUUGUCUGCUAUGCCUUGAGAUUUUUUAAGCACAAGCAUAGACAUUGGAAUCCUAAAGUCAUCUCAUGUUUAGUACAUUGUUUUAUGUGUCUACUGUCCUUGCUAUGGGCCAUUACAUUAUUAUGUUCCAGCAAUUGGCAACAAGAACCAGCAGUCCAGUUUAGUCUGAUGGUGGAUCUUGGCAUAAUUGCUUACCAAAGGCCAAAGCCAUUAUUUAAUGGAUUGCUAACCUAGCAUUUUGCCAUGGAAUGCCUGUAUUUAAUCAGGUGUUUUCUUUGGUGGGUACCCUUGCGAAUCACAAGUGAAAGCUUCGAUGAUCAGAGCUGGCAUGUUUAGGCCAUGGAAACACCUUAUCACCUUAUUAUCCAUGUUAGUGGUUCAGCGUGUUACCCUGUUUUUUCAGUUUGAGGCUUUCAGCCACCCACCAUUUCAUAUCUAAUGAGAAACGAGCUUUUGUUGUGUGCCCGUGUCCACCCUAUUUUUUCCGAUGUUUUCGUAACACCUUAUUACCUCUUGGUCAAACUAACUGAUUCUCGAACACUACCAUCUCUACUUUUGGUAAAGUUUGAAAUAAGCAUAUAAAGCAUUGUUUGUUCUUUGUGUUUCGAGAAUUAUUAUAUGGAGAAGAACAAAGACUUUGCACACUGGCAGGUUUGGAUUAGGUCUUGCUCAGAUUAUUGUUAAUUUUGUAGAGUAUUUUUUUGUUAUUACGAUGUUAAAAUUUGAGUGCUAAUUUGGACUUUGUUGUAUGAAACCAGAAUUAUAAUUAAUUGUAGUGCCAGACUGCACAGCCAUGUGCAAGGGAACACAAGCACAUCUUCAAGUAUGAAAAGGUCAAAUGGAUCAAAACUUUUGUUUCUCUUGCUACAGUAUCAUGUACAUUUCUACUGUAUAGUGUAUACAUAGGGGAAAAUUGUAUGAAGAUCAGCUAUUCCUUAAAAGGCGGAUGCCAAUCGAAGGGUGUCAAGAGUGUCUUGGAAGUAUCUAUGAGCUAAGGAUGUUGAGUAGAGAAACUCUGCUCUGCACUAAUUUCUUGAACAGAUGUCCUGCUCCACUCUCAAGAUCUAUGAUACUGCACUCUAGCUUCGACAGUUGCUCUUCCUUGCAAAAACUGACUUCUUUCUGUGAAAUGCCUUGGAAACAAGAGACUGUUUAGGCAUUUCAAUUUGUUCCGACAAGAGAUAGAGUGUGGACUCCAGCAGAGAGACACAGAUCUCUCUGGCCUUGGCGAAGAGCAUGACCAUCCUGCAGUCUGCAGAAAUCUUUUUCGUGGUCUUCUUGAUUAUGAUUCUUGGCCUUCUUCGCCAAGCAGGUGUAAGAUUGGAUACUGGCUUGAGCAGCCGCAUCAUCCCCUUUCCUUAGAGACACUUGCAGCUUUUGGAUAAUGGCCUUCAUCUCGGCGAAGACUCUUGCAUGGUGCCACAUAGAUCUAGCAGCUCGAAAGAACCGUCCAUUUCUCCAUGCAAGAACUUCUUCUGCUGGUAGGCACAGACUUGGCUGCUUGGAAGGCAGAUGAUCUCUUCAACGCCAUUAUAGAUGUCACCAAGCCUCCCCGGACCCUCGCACAUUGUGCCAAUGGUCGUGGAGGAAGAGAUGCUUGCCUCUAGGCUCAACAUCUCUUCUUCAAUCUCGGUCUCGGUGGGGUGAGGCCUAGAAGGCAAACUUAUCGAUCUUAGGUGGAAAGCCAUGUCUGAUCUUGAAGCUUUUCUAUAUAUUGUGGUUAAGGAGAGGAGGAGCAGAAAAGAAGAGCUUAUAGCUUGAUGUAUCUACCGUUCUGCUCACGCCUAUUUAUAAAGAAGGUAUGUUUACAGUUGUACUGUAGCAUCCAAGUGGUAGACAUGAAGAAUCAUGCCACAUUACAUCUCCCAGAUGCUGUCUGCUAUGCCUUGAGAUCUGCCAGAAGCAUAGAGAUCAGAACACUAAGAACACUAAGGUCGUCUCAUGUCUGGUAUCCUCGAGAAGAAACAUCACAUUGUCAUGUUCCACUUAUUGGCAGCAAUAACCAUCACAUUGCACGCUGAAGCUAUUAUCUAGUGGAAUGCUGCUGGCUACUGGCAUGUUCUUCAUUUAAUUGGCUAUUUUUUCUUUUGAUGGAUACUCAUGAUAACCACGGCCGAUGCCUCAUAAUUUGGAGCUGGCAUUUUCAUGUAUCGGAAAACAAGAUCCAAUGCGCCUUUUAUUUUGUUCAACAUUGUGUCCCCAUCUUUUCAGUUAUAUCGUAUCAAACAAUGACAUAAACAAGGUUUUGAAUUGUGACCUUGCUCACCAAUCUCUUUUCAAUGUUAUGCGAUGCUAUUUCUUUUUGGUUAUACUAAUUGAUUCUCAAACAUCAUUGUGGGUGAAGUUUGCCAUCCUAUCAGAUUGUUUUUCUUUUUAGGUUAUUUCUGUUGCUAGCCAAAUUGUUCAGUUCUACGUCUGAGGUCACUAGCCAAAUGGCAUAGAUGCUAAACGAAUCCUGUUUGCUAGUAAUUUUGGAGCUUUCUGCCAGUAUACAAGGUCUCGUAAUAAUUUGUAAUGUUGGCACAAACAUAGUUACAUAAUAAUUUGUUGCGCUCUGUAAUCGUUUUCUUCCCUGCAUGUUUGGGUGUGUGUACUGUGUCUCUUCUACCUUCUCAAUGGAAUGAAACACAAGGCUUUUGCGUUUUCUCAACCAAAAAAAAACGGUAGAAUAUGCUGCUUAUUUUGAAGUCAGUGUUUUACCCAGGUCGGGUCAUUGGUAUGAUGUAGUACAAUUUAGAGCACACUUUAAAAUUCUGCAACGCGUAAAGAAAUGGAGUAAUCUCCAAUGGGUUAUUUUGGGGGGGUCGAAUUUCUACAAGAUUACAUUGUUUUACAGUCUGUUUAAAGGAUGGUCAUUCCUUGGCUGAAAUGGUGGCAAUUAGAAGAUUGGAGUAUCUGGCAAAUACUCCCAGCAAGAAAUCAGGGCAUUUGCAAUUGCAUAUUAACUGCAGUCUACUGGUGCGGGAGAAAGUGAAUUAGUGAUGUCUAUGUAGCACAUAUACUGACAGAAUGUAAAAUGAAACCAAAUAAGUGGAAGAUCUCGUAGUUGCAAAAUCAACAUGUUUCUUAGACAAAUAAAUGGUGAUAUUUCAUAAGUAAAACAUACUUUUGUUGCACUACAAGCACCCAGAAUUGUUUUUAGUCAUAAAGAGUGGGUGUGCACUGUUGGGGGCGAUGCCGGACCAAUCCCAACAUGGAAGUAUAAAAAAAAAACCUAUACAUAAACAUAAGUCUCAAAUAUCCUUCAUGUUGAGCGCAGUGGAGUGUAGCAGAGUAUUCUGAAAGGUGUGCAACUUCUGAAGGAGACAGAACUCAGAUUCGUACCUUGUCUGGUCCAUGGGUGCCUGGAGGGUGUUACCCGACAGUCAGGUAGUCAUGCCAGUGCCAAUCUCCCUACUGAAGUUGGCAAGUUACCGUGCUCAUGGAGGCAGUGACUGAAACGUGGGGCAUGGGAUCGAUUCGUCAAACUUUUGCAGCAGAGGAUGUUCCCGUGGUCCUCAUCAUGCCGAUAUUUGAACAGAGUGAAGAUUUGGUCCUGGAAACUACUUGGCACACAAAACUUGAGUGCAUGAUGUAUCUCGCACCUUGAUGAUUCGCCAGCCUUGUCACCUGAAGUUUCACCCUGUGACUGGAAGCGAACCAGGAUGGAAUCAAGUAUUGACAAGGUACAACAGACACAAAAGUGAAGGGUCCAAAUAAAGAUGAUCCAGAGAAUAGCAGUACACUCUUGGGGAUUACCACAAAGCUAUAACUAGAAGCUCGGUGAGUUAGUCCAUGGGUUUUGAUGGGAUUUCGUUUAUGACAAUGUCAUAAGUGAGCAGACCUACCCUCUAUGGCUCACCGUAUGAAUGUUUCAAAAGCAAAUGUUAUCAACAUCCAGUCUAGUACCUUCAGCAAAAGCAAAGUAUAGGGAUUAACAGUUGCUGCUAACAUACAUAGGAAGAUCUUCCAAUUGUUAGUGUUUGUGGAAAAGAAUCAAUUGCCAUCCUUUGAAACCAAUCUUCUACCAUAAAAAUGCUAAUAUUUCCACUGUUGAAACCAAUUUGACCAAUGUGUAGCUUAUAUAUGGCAUGAAGAUAAAACUAGGACUCUGUUGCGUGGAAAACAUGAAAACUGUUCCCAGCCAACAAAAACUAUUCAUAGUACUGUAAUUCGAAUAUCUAGCUUAUAAGCAUUCUCAGUUUACAGAAUGGUAUGGUUCCAUGGAAAACUACUGGAGGCCAUUACCGCCACCGAAAUAGUUCCCAUUAUCCGUUGGAUGAGUUGAUGAUAUCGCAUUAUCAAGCUCUAAGCUAACAAGCUCUGAAUCAUGCAUAGCAAAAAAAAAGAUCCAAAUCGUUUUUUUACAACAAAUUUCUAGAUGCAUUUUUUUUACAAACGGAACAAUUAAUGGUGCCUAAGUUUCUUCCAUGUUAUAGUCAUUGCUGGUGCUUGCAAAUACACCAAAGAUUUCAGGUAAGCGCUAUGACAGAAAUAGCACAAAAAACUACUGUAUAGCUAUUUAACAAAAGAAAAAGAUAGCUAAAUUAUCUUGAUUUCUACAUGUAUACUUGUUAAAAAAACAUCAUAGCUAACCGGGGCAGUUCUUUUUUUGCUUCCGUUUUUCUGUUCUCAGCUGUGUCAGGUGGAAACAAAUAUACAGAUAGGAACUUUCACAGAUUCCUUGGGCGACAACAGGCAGGAAAAGUACUCUUCCAAUGCCUACGAAACCUAAACUACUGCAUGACAGGCUCCUCAACAAAGGCCAAAUAUUGAGUUCAAUCCUCUGUUCUACACAUACAUUCUAUCAUAUCCUUACAUUUUGCACAUUUUUCCUAUCUUGUGAACCAACGGAGCCCUAAAGGUGGGAACUACGCAAACCCGCCCGUCAACGUCAAUGUCAUCACAACCACCCCAAGGAAACUUCAGUCAAGAUUGGAGGGCAACCAAAUUUGCAUAAAAUAAUUGAAGGCCAAGGUCCUGAUAAUUACCUGAUAGUACAUAAAGUUCAUAUCGGGAACAUGCGGCUACUAAAGCAGUCCACAAGUAGUAGCAGCUGGUGGUCGUGUGCCCGGCCCACUGCCCACAGACUUGCACCCUGGUUUCCAUCUUUCAGACUAUCAUAUAGCAAAGUUAGCAACUGGUACAAUUAAGUGGAGGCUCAGAAUAAAACAACUUGGAAAGCUAGCACAGUGAUGGCAGUGUGCAUGAAUGCCUUCACUAACAUGCAGGAAGAUUCUUGCCACGUACUUAAAUUCAGACAUGACUCGGAUGAGAUACAUGCACCCACGUGAUUAAUCUAAAGUUAAUUUAGUCGUGUGUACACACACACACACACACAGAGCCAUGUUUCCUGCAAGCAAUGGCGCGCCCCAGUGGCAGCUUCUCAUCAUCAUCCUCUACGCCGGCUGCUUCCUCCUCUCCUCGCCGCUCGAUGCUCCUUGACAUGUCGCCGCCGCAACGCCGCCACCCAUCUCAUUUAGCUUCAACUUCGCCAACUCAUCCUCAUACGACGCAAAAUACCUCAAUUUCUCGGGUGACGCGGCCGUGAACGACAGCUUGGUCAACCUUGCAGGCAACUCCAUUGCAGCAGUGACUACUGGCGACCGCGGCUUAAUGUCGUAUGGGCCCCCGUGGCCUUUGUAUGACAACACCACCCAUGAGGUGGCGAGCUCAUGCAUGGAUGGCUUCACGGGCAUGCCCAGACCGGAUGACUUCACGGCAUCUUCUUCAAGAAAUGCUAGGACACCAUCAAAGAUGACAUUAUGAGGGUCAUACACAUCUUUGAGUCCCUACAUUCGGCAAAUUUCCAUUGGCUCAACUCCGCAAAUGUGGUGCUUUUGCCCAAAGAGUGGUGCGGAGGGCAUCUCCAACUACAAAACCAUUAGUCUCAUCCAUGUUAUCAAUAUUAUUGCGAACGUGCUAUCCAUCAGCCUUGGCCCCCACAUGGAUGCCCUGGUCUCCAACGUGCAAAGUGCAAUCAUCAGGAGGGGAAGGAUUCACGAUAACUUUAUGUAUGUCCGAACUUUGCCCGCUGGUUGCACAAGUGCGGGACCCCCACCCUACUCUUCAAGCUUGACAUUCGCAAGGCCUUUGAUUUGGUUAAGUGAGAGUACAUCAUUGAUCUUCUACAAAGGAAAGGCUUCCUGACCAAGGUUCGGAAUUGGAUCACCGUGCUUUUCUGCACAUCUUCAUCGCGGAUCCUCUUGAAUGGUGUCCUUGGCCAUCCCAUGGUGCAUAGUAGGGGGCUUCGCCAAGGCGAUCCACUUUCACCUCUCAUGUUCGUCAUUGCUGGAACUAGCAACUCAGAAGGGUCUCCUUCACAAGAUUCGUGGGAGAGGUGCUAGGGUGAGAACCUCCCUAUAUGCGAACAACGCGACCGUGUUCAUGACCCCUAUCAAGAGGAAUAUUGAUAACCUCGCGACUAUUUUAAAGGGGUACAACGAGGUGACUGGUCUUUGCACCAACUUCCAAAAGAGCUCAGUGGUGCCCAUUCAAUGCAACCAACUCAAUUUGGGCCACAUUCUGCAGAGAUUGCCGGCAACUAGAGCUUCGUCCCCCUUGACAUAUCUGGGCCUUCCUCUCUCGGUAUGGCAGCUCAAGAAGGUGGACCUUCACUUCCUUGAAAACAAGGUGGCCGGAAAACUCGUCACGUGGGAGGGUCAACAUAUCACUACUAGUGGCCGCACAACGCUAGUCAAGUCCGUCGUCACUUCCCAGGUGGUCUACUUUACAACACCACUUGUCGUCCUACCGAGCACACCUCGAUUUUAACAAGCUUGAGCGGGCCUUUCGUUGGUUCGACUCGAACAACACUACUAGUGCAAAACGCAAGGUGAAAUGGGAGGCGGCCUGUCAGCCACUCAAAUAUGGAGGCUUUGAGGUGCUCAAACACUGAUAAAAUCGCUAUGGCCUUGAGGUUGCGUUGGUCAUGGUUUGAAUGGAAGGAGCCAGGGAACUUGCAGAUUGGUAUGGGAAACCGUUAUAAUGAGGAUGACCUUGAUUUCUUCUAUGCCUCUACCACCAUCACGGUGGAGAAUGGCGCUAAAACACCGUUCUGGGACUCACCAUGGCUCCUUGAACGAAAACCAAAAGAUAUUGCCCCUCUCAUUUUCAAGGCAUCAACGAGAAAAGAUUGGAAGAUGCGUGAGGCCCUCAAGGAGAAUGCUUGCAUUUAAAAGAUUAAACCAUCCACAAUUGUUUCUGUCGACCACAUAAGGGAGUUCUUCACAAUUUGGAUGCUUGUGCAUGACUUCCAUCUUGAUGAGCAUACCAAGGACAACAUCGUGUGGAAACAUUCGACAGAUGGGCUCUACUCAGCAGCUUCCACCUACAAGGCGCAAUUCUUUGGUAUGACCUCUCCCCUAUGGAACAAAUGGUUUGGAAAGUUUGGGCUCCGCUAAAAGUCAAGUUCUUCGCUUGGUUAGCCAUACAAGGCCGAAUUUGGACCACCCAUAGAUUGGCCAAGCGAGGCUGGCCAAACUGUGGCCUUUGUCCUCUUUGCAAGAGGGAGCGUGAAGCUAGAGCACAUCUCUUCUUCAAGUGACGUUUUACAAUUUAGCUAUGGAACUUGGUCAUUGAGAAGCUUGGUCUCGACCACAUGUACACUUCUACUUGGCACUUGGAGGAUCCCAUCAAGUCUUGGUGGGCUAAUAGGACCGGGUUGAACAUCCUUAGCUAGAUGGCCAUGGCUUCUCUCACCAUGCUUGUAUCUUGGACAAUUUGGAAGACAAACUCCCGCGUCUUCUGUAAAAAGAGUAAACCGCCGGUGAUCUUGCUAAACACUAUUUUAGCCGAAGCCAAUCUUUGGAGCACCGCAGGGGCUAAGAAGCUAGGCACUUAUAGCGCGAGAGUAAUCACCAUGUGUUGUAUGAGAGUCGGUUGUAAAACAAACUCUAUUCUCUCCUUAAUUAAUAGAUGAGGCAAAUCUUAUGUCUCCGUUUCAGAAAAGCUCAUGCAUGGAUACCCCAAAGGGGAUGCCAUGGCUUUCUUCCUCGUCGGCUAGCCAUCGGCGCUACCGCCAGACUCGACCGGUGAUGCCUUCGGCCUCACAAACAAGAAACCUUGGACAACAUUGGCAUCGACCUCAGCUCCUUCAGACACUCGGUUAACACGACAAGCCUACCUAGCUUCAGCCUGAAUGGGACCAUGACGGCAUCCAUCAAUUUUAACAUCACCGGGAUGAUGGUCACUAGACUGCACUUCGAUGGCUAAAAUAGCCUAGACGUGACCGGAAACAAAAACAGCCCACGCCCUGGCGGCAACAACUACAGUCAGAACACAUCAUCAUCAUCCGCCGGCAGAUCACUCUACUAACUAUGCAUUAAGCCAGACCAUGAGGUAACUGAGUGUUGGCACCAUUUUGAUGAAAAUUAUCUUCUCGGCGAACGCCAUGUGGCUGCUGCUCUCCGGGAACAAGGAGAAGGAAACAUGGUAUUGUAUGCUGACUCCGGGCUUGAGAAGCUUGCCAUCCGCGAGAAGUAUUUCGGCAACAACCAAGUACACACCACCACAAGCGGUUGACGUAUGAACACCCAUCACAUUGGUCAAGCCUCAAUUAGUUCCCCAAUUGAUCUUCUAUUAAGAGAUGUUCUCCACGUUCCACAAGCCAAUAAGAAUCUUGCUUCUAUGUCUCGCUUAACAACCCAUAACAAUGUAUUCUUUGAAACUCAUCCUAAAUAUUAUUUUUAUAAAGGAUCGAGCAAUGCACCAGAUGACCUUACCCCAUCACAACAAGAGCAUUUAGUCAUCAAAAGCGUCGUCAUCAAGCCCUCCUUGGCAAGAUGGCAUCAAAGAGUAGGACAUCCGUCAUCAAUCAUAGUUGAGCAAGUAGUCAAUCAAGGCAAUCUUCUAUUUUCAGGUAGUGAAAAUAAAGAGUCUGUUUGUGAUGCUUGUCAGUGUGCCAAGAGUCACCAACUCUUUGAUGACAUCUUGCCAAGGAGGGUUGACGAUGGAGUAGGCUUGACACAACGCUUUCGACUAAAUGCUCCUCAUGUGAUGGCGUGAAGUCCUCCGAUGCAUCUACCGCGAUGGAGUUCCCUUGUUGCCCCAAUCCUUUAAAAGAAAAUAUUUAGGAUGAGUUUCAAAGAAUACAUUGUUAUCGGCUGAUAAGCGAGACAUAGAAGCAAGAUUUUGUUGGCUUGUGGAACAUGGAGAACAUCUUUUAAUGGAAGAUCACGUUUAGAAAUAGGGCAUUAAUUGAAGCUUGACCAAUGUGAUGAAUGUCCAUACCUCCACCGCUUGCGGCGGUGUGUACUUGGUCGUUGCUGAAAUACUUCUCGUGGAUGGCAAGCUUCUCAAGCUCACCUGUGAUGUGGUCGGUCACCCCGGAGAAAAGCAGCUACAUGGCGUUCGUCGGGAACAUAAUUUUCAUCAAACGGUGCCAACACUCAGUUACCUCAUGGCUUGGCUUCUUGCAUAGUUGGCAGCGUGGUCUACCGGUGCAGGAGGAUGAUGUGUUCCUGAUUCUAGCCGCGUGUGUGUUGUUGUUGCCACGCCCAUGCACGCCGAUGUUGCAGCCAUGUCCUUGGUGACCACGGCCUGGGCUGCCACUACCACGGCCACGAGCCGCAGCAUUGGCAGAAGACUAUUGUACGGGCGUCCCUUGGGAAAGGUUGAGUUGUGCCUCAAAGCUCAUCGGCUGGCUGUAAAGCUCCAGGGGCGUGACAAGCUCGACGCGGUCAAGGGCUGAGACCACAAAGUUGUACUCAAGGUCCAGACCUGAGCAGACAUAGGAGAUGAUCUCGUGGUUGGAGAGGGGCACACAAGCGAGAGUGAUCUCAUCAGAGAGCACUUUGAUUUGGGCGAGGUACUCCGUCAUGCUGGAGUUAGCCUUCUGAAGGUUAACAAGCGCGAUUCUGGUGUUCACGGACUCGGCUCGUGUCUGGGCAACGAACGUGGCAUGGAUGGCGCCCCACACCUCGGCCGAAGUCUGCAGCAUGACGGCCUAGUCAAGCACUUCGCGGGACAUAGAACCCAUUAGAUAGCCUUGUACAUGCUGCUGCUGAGCGUACCAGAUCGCGCGCGCAUAGUUAACGUUUUGCUCUUCCUUCUCGUCGGUGGUGACGGUGAUGGUGACGGGCGACGCUGGGCUUGCUGCGUCCAUCUGUGCGCCCUUAAUGUGGGGCAACACGAUGGCCUUCCACAGGAGGAAGUUUGUCCUCGUGAACUUCUCUUACGGUGGUUGACCGAGGGACACAACGUUGGUGCUAGAGGAGGGAGCAAAGGUGGAAGAUGAAGAUUGGGAGGUCAGGGCACUCAUGGUGCUGGCGAACGCGGAGGCGGUGGUGUCGGUCAUGAUUUCUCUUAGGAGCUUGGCUAGAUGUGAUCUACGAUCUUAUGAGGAAGCAGCUCUGGUACCAUGUAAAUAUUAUGGGAAGCAUAUCUCCUAUCGUAGCAGGCCGCAGGUAUUUAUAGACUGAGGCGAUCAGCCAACCAUGUCACAUGGCAUACAAGUUGAGGACGAUGGCUAGGAUGCGUCCAGAUAGAUGGGAGAUCGAGAGGAGAUCAAAACUAUUUAACUAAAUUCUAUCUCUACUCUAUCUAUCUGUCUAACAAGCUCGCAGUUGCCCUACCUGGAAAUGUUACUCCCAGCAGAUGUGGCGGUAGGGUUCUCUGCAGCCACUGGCAUAGGUGUGGAGCUCCAUGAGAUAUUGUCAUGGUCCUUCAACUUCACACUUGCUCCCAAAGAACAACUACCAAUAUCGAUAUGUAUGUGCUCAUCUUGAGUAGGGCAGUAACUUUUUACAACCUUGCACAAAGAUUUAGGAGGUUAUUUCACAAUCCGGGUGUGUGUUAUUUGGUACGGGUCUAACUGCAGCAGCGAUUGCUGGAGGAGCUUCUGUGUUCCUGCUCGUGGAUUCGUUCAUUCUAUGAUGGUUUAUGUGGAGACGAAGGCGUAAUUCCCUCAUGGUUUCGAGGGCUGGCCCUAAGCAAUUCCGGUACCGGGACUUGGCUUGCCCAACCAACAACUUCUCCAUGGAGAGGAAGCUCGGAGAGGGGCAGCUUUGGCACGGUGUACUGGGGAACAGACCUCAAGGUCGAUCAUGAUGGAGGAUAACAAUAGGUUGUUGUCAAGGAGCUCUUGAAGGGGUCCAGGCUAGGAGGAGUCAAGGACCUCCUCACGGAAGUCAACACCAUUAGCAACACCAAGCACAAGAAUCUGGUCAAGUUGCAAGGCUGGUGCGGCAUAAGCAGAUGGGACUUGAUGUGCUGGUGCCUGAAGCAGCUGGAUGAUCAUAGGCUCUUCCUUGUCUACGAAUUGAUGCCUCAGGGUGAUCUCAACCAUCACCUACAUGACAAGGACGCGACAGUUCUGCGAUGGCCAACCAGGUACAAAAUAGUGAAGGGGAUAGGAUCGGCUCUUUUCUACCUCCACGAGUGUUGCGUACAUCCUACAUAGAGAUAUCAAGCCAGGCAACAUACACUCUUGGAUGAUGAUUACAAUGCCAAGCUCGCCGACUUCGGGCUAUCAAGGAUUGGCAACAAAAACAACUCCUCACUGGUGACCACCACCGUGAGGACCAAUGCUUACAUGGAUCCCAAGUUAAAAAUAUAAGGUGAUGUCAAGUUCGACAGGAGCACCGAUGUCUAUAGCUUCGGGCUCAUUCUAUUGGAGAUCGCGUGUGGGUGGCGCAACUCCAGGAAGGAAGUAUGGGAUCACUAUAAAAGAAGUGGUCCCAUGCUCGAUGAGAAUUCGGGAGGCAACUUCCAUGGGGAGCAGAUGAAGAUGGUGGAGGCCACUGCUGAUGAGAGGUUGGGAGGCGACUUUGAUAUGGAGCAGAUGCAACAUGUACUUGUCAUGGGCCUUUGGUGUCCCCUCCCCAACGGUGCAGAGUGACCUUCCAUGCUGGAAGCAAUGCAACUACAGGAAAAAGACGAGCUGCCUCACCUUACAUCGUCAGCCACCACCACUUGUAUUUAGUCUGAUUAUUAUUAGCCAACAUUUGAAAUAAUGCUAUUGGGCAAAUGUCCAGUGGGGAAGUUCCCAGUGAAUGCACCCACAGGGCACAUGCCUUAGAUCCUGAUCGAGCGAUGAAAGUUUUUCUAGAAAAAAAUGGCUUCAAAAGUAAACCUGUCAGGCAAAAUGUUGCACUCCCCAGUGAACUGCCCCCGCCCCCCUCCUCUUCAACUAAAGUUGCCACCCCCCUAGUGUUAGAGUUAUAUUAUAAGUCAUGUACCCCUUUGUAUUUAUCCCGUUAUAUAAGGGGUUUCCUGCAUAUGUUUCACAUCUGUACAUGUAUAUAUAUAUCGGCCUAUGGCCUCAUGGGCAUACAAGUUGCAUAUUCCUAACAUGGUAUUAGAGCUAGGUUAACUUUUUUUGCACGCUGCAACUCGUGCAAUUGAUCCGUCUCUCCUCCCGAUAGAGGCCGCAGCCUCGAUCUCCUUGUCCCGCUCGGAUCCCGUCCUGGAUCGGAUCGGGCCUCCUCUCCCGUUCUUGAUCCUAUAAGGAUCGCUCGCAGCCCCUCCCCCGAUCGAUCGCUCGCAGCCCCUCCCCCGAUCGAGAAGGACGCUCCCGCUCGAGCUCGCCCUUGUUCCGACUCGCACAGGCCCUGCUGGAUCCCGCCGCUGCCUCCAGCUGCCAGCCGCCCCUUGGUCUGGAUCGACUGCCUGCUGCUCCCCCGAUCCCGUCCUGUUGCCGAUUGGAAGCUGGUGGUCUCGUCCCUGCUGCUCUUGUCGGAUUCUGCUGAUUUUGGAUCUCUGCUAAAAAAAGAAAAAAAAAGAAGAUAUGUCUGCUGCAUCGGGCUAUGUUACACCGAGUUCACUGGCUUUAUGCGCAUUCACAUGUGUGGCAUUCGUCUCUGGGGUGUUCUUUCUGGCGAGGUCUGCUGUCCGCCACGUCCGGUUCCUCCGGUGGCCCCUACUCCGCCGACUCCACUGGUUCUUGCUCCGGAUGCUAAUCAGGCCGCCAAGGAUGCGGCUAAGCUUGCUGAUGAGGCUGCUGAUCGUGCUUAUGAUGAGAAGGUUUUGGCUCAUGAGGAGGCUCUUCAGAUUUAUCAUGGUGCUCUGUCUGCUUACACCCAGUGGCUUGAUGAUGAUGCUUGUGCUGCUGCUGUUCUCACUGCUAGUGUUCUGCCUCAGUUUGCUUCUGAGUUUCUGGGUCUUCUUACUGUCUUUGAGAUGUGGACCCCGUCUUCAUCAGCGCUAUCAGCCCUCUGGUGAUGCCUUAUACCUUUCUGUGGUCCGUCAGGAGCAUGCUCUUCAGCAGGGUGACUCUACUGUUGAUGACUUCUAUGCACAGAGUUCUGCUAUCUGGCGCCAGCUUGAUUCUCUCCACAGUGCUGGUUGUCGUACCUGCCCCUGUUGCCAGGCUGUCCAGGCCAAUUUGGAGUUUCAUCGCGUCUAUGAGUUCCUGUCUCGGCUCCGUAAGGAGUUUGAGCCCCGGCGUGCUCAGUUGUUUGCUCGUGGCCGUAUUUCUCUCAUGGAGGCGCUUUCUGAGAUUCGUGCUGAGGAGACUCGCUUACGUGGUGCUGGUUUGCUGGAGGUUCCCUCUGUGCUUGCUACUCGUGCUCCUACGCCACCUGCUGCACCGACCCCUUCUCGCUCGAGUGCCCCACCGCUCUUGCCCACUCCUUCUGGAGGCUCAGGUCGCCCCCGUCCACAUUGCGACUACUGCAACAAUGAUGGUCAUCUUGAGUCUCAGUGCUACACGAAGAAGAAACACCUGCGCAAGGCGCGAUCAUCAUCUUCAGGGACUUCGUCAUCUACCUCGACAGCUUCAGCCAUUACUUUGACUGAGCAGGAUAUUCUGAGACUUAAGCGUCUGCUCGCGGCUUCAGGUUCUUCCUCGACGGGUACUGCUGGUUCUGUGACUGAUGCUUCCCGCACUGAGCAAUCACCCUCUACACAGUCAAGUACAUCCCCAUGGGUUCUGGACUCUGGAGCUUCUUUUCAUAUGUCUUCUCAUUCUUCCAUUUUGUCCUCUCUUCGCUCGCUGGAUUCUCCUGUUCAUGUCCUCAUUGCUGAUGGUACUCCACUUUCUGUCGUUAGUAGAGGCACUCUUGCCACUCCUUACUCUGUUCCUGAUGUUGCUCAUGUUCCUUGACUCACCAUGAAUUUGUUUUCUGCUGGUCAACUUACUGAUUCUGGUUGUCGCGUCAUCCUUGACGUUGACUCUUGUUCUGUCCAGGACCGUCACACGCACACUCUGGUUGGGGCUGGCCCUCGCCGCCGUGAUUCUCAGGGUCUUUGGGAGUUGGACUGGCUUCAUGUUCCUUCUGCUGCCACCACUAUCGCCAGUUCCUCCGCUUCAGUCGCCUCUGUUACUGGUUCCUUCAAGCAGUGGCAUCAUCAACUUGGUCAUCUGUGUGGUUCUCGGUUGUCGUCUUUAGUUCGUCGAGGCCUUCUGGGGUCUGUCUCAGGAGAUGUCUCUUUAGAGUGUUAGGGUUGUCAUCUUGGCAAGCAGAUUCAGUUACCAUAUUCACAUAGUGAGUCAGUGUCUAAGCGUCCUUUUGAUUUAGUCCAUUCUGAUGUAUGGGGUCCGGCUCCUUUCGCUUCCAAAGGUGGUCAUAAAUACUAUAUUAUUUUCAUAGAUGACUUCUCUCGUUACACAUGGCUUUAUUUCAUGACUUCUCGUAGUGAGGUGUUGUCUAUUUAUAAGCGUUUUGCUGCCAUGGUUCAUACUCAGUUCUCUUCACCCAUUCGUGUUCUUCGUGCUGACUCUGCUGGCGAGUAUAUCUCUAAGAUGUUGCGUGGUGUUCUUGCUGAGGAAGGCACUCUCUCUCAAUUCUCUUGUCCUGGUGCUCAUGCUCAGAAUGGUGUGGCUGAGAGAAAGCAUCGUCAUCUUCUUGAGACGGCUCGUGCAUUGCUGAUUACUGCCUCUCUCCCGCCUCAUUUUUGGGUUGAGGCCGUCUCCACCUCCACCUAUCUUAUCAAUCUCCAGCCUUUCGCUGCUCUACAAGGUGGUGUUCCUUUCGAGCGUCUUUUUGAUCGUUCUCCCGAUUAUUCGAUGCUUCGCUUGUUUGGUUGUGUUUGCUAUGUUCUUCUUGCCCCUCGCGAACGCACCAAACUGACCGCUCAGUCUGUUGAGUGUGUCUUUUUAGGCUACAGUGAUGACCAUAAGGGCUAUCGUUGUUGGGAUCCUAUCGGUCGUCGGAUGCGUAUCUCUCGAGACGUGACUUUUGAUGAGUCUCGUCCCUUCUACCCACGCCCAUCUUCCUCGACCUUUUCAGUGGAGGAUAUCUCUUUCCUCACUUUUCCUAACUCACCUAUCACCCCCGUCGAGCCUGUGCCUAUUCGUUCCGCUCCCUCUGCUUCUCCACCUCUAGUCGAUUUGAUGCCACCAUCUUCCACGGUCUCCUCGUCUAGCAUGUCACCGGAUUCUACACCUUCAUCUCCGAUGACUUCUUCGUCGCCACCCCUCGAUUCUACCUUGGCGAUUCCUCCUUCUAUUGUUCCAUCUUUUCCUUAGUAUUACACUCGUCGUUCACGUCCUGUGGAUGCCUCCGUGGAUGUGUCGUCAUCUUCCUCUCAGCCUACUUAUGGCUUGCAUUCUCAUCCUCGUCCGCCUGUUGAUUGCUUUGGAUUUCCCACCGCUGGUGCUGCUGUUCUUGAGCCGACUUCUUAUCGUCGAGCUGUUGUUCAUCCUGAAUGGCAGUUUGCGAUGGCAGAGGAGAUCGCUGCUCUUGAACGCACUGGUACCUGGGAUCUUGUUUCCCUUCCUCCCGGAGUCCGUCCCAUCACUUGUAAGUGGGUCUACAAGGUUAAGACUCGCUCCGAUGGUUCUCUUGAGCGUCACAAAGCUCGUCUUGUGGCUCGUGGUUUUCAGCAGGAGCAUGGUCGUGAUUACGACGAGACUUUUGCUCCUGUGGCACAUAUGACCACUAUUCAUACACUUCUUGCCGUUGCCUCUGCACGCCACUGGUCUAUAUCUCAGCUUGAUGUUAAGAAUGCUUUUCUUAAUGGUGAGCUGCGUGAGGAGGUGUGCAUGCAGCCACCACCUGGGUAUUCUGUUCCUGAUGGCAUGGUCUGUCGUCUUCGUCGCUCUCUAUGGCCUUAAGCAAGCCCCCCGUGCCUGGUUUGAGCGUUUUGCCUCUGUGGUCACUGCUGCUGGUUUUUCAGCAAGUGCUCAUGAUCCAGCAUUGUUUAUUCACCUUUCUCCUCGUGGUCGGACUCUUCUUCUUCUCUAUGUUGAUGACAUGGUCAUCACUGGGGAUGACCCCGAGUAUAUUGCCUUUGUAAAGGCCUGUCUUAGUGAGCAGUUUCUUAUAUCUGAUCUUGGCCCUCUUCGCUACUUUCUUGGGAUUGAAGUCUCUUCUACCUCUGAUGGCUUUUUUAUAUCCCAGGAAAAGUAUAUCCAGGAUCUUCUUGCUCGUGCUGCUCUUAUUGACGAACGCAUUGUUGACUCCUAUGGAGCUCAAUGUUCACCUCCGUGCUACUGAUGGUGAUCCCCUCCCUGACCCGACGCGUUAUCGUCAUCUUGUUGGCAGUCUUGUCUAUCUAGCUGUCACUCAUCCGGAUAUCUCUUAUCCGGUUCAUAUUCUGAGUCAGUUCAUCUCCGCUCCCACAUCGGUCCACUAUAGUCAUCUCCUUCGUGUUCUCCGAUAUCUUCGGGGCACAAUCUCUCACCGUCUAUUCUUUCCUCGCUCCAGUUCUUUACAGCUUCAGGCUUAUUCGGAUGCUACGUGGGCUAGUGAUCCUUCAGAUCGCCGUUCACUUUCUGCUUACUGUGUUUUUCUUGGUGGUUCUCUCAUUGCCUGGAAGACGAAGAAACAGAUUGCAGUUUCCCGUUCGAGUGCCGAGGCUGAGUUGCGAGCAAUGGCUCUUUUGACGGCAGAGGUGACUUGGUUACGGUACAGGUGCUAUUAGCAUUGCGCGUGAUCCUGUGAAGCAUGAGCUCACCAAGCAUAUUGGUGUUGAUGCUUUCUAUGUACGCGCUGGUGUGCAGGAUCAGGUUAUUGCUCUUCAGUAUGUGCCUUUCGAGUUACAGUUGGCGGAUUUCCUGACGAAGGCCUAGACUAGAGCACAACAUGGCUUUUAUCUCUCCAAACUCAGUGUUGUUCAUCCACCAUGAGUUUGAGGGGGGGGGGGGUGUUAGAGUUAUAUUAUAAGUCAUGUACCCCUUUGUAUUUAUCCCAUUAUAUAAGGGGUUUCCUGCAUAUGUUUCACAUCUGUACAUGUAUAUAUAUCGGCCUAUGGCCUCAUGGGAAUACAAGUUGCAUAUUCCUAACACCUAGAACUAAAUCUGUCAGGCAAAACGUUCGCUUUUGCCAUCUUUCCUGACGAACGUUUGUCAGCUAACGAGGUCCAAUAUAAAUACCACUGCAAAAUAGGGGUUGAUUCCAUAGGAAAUUUUUCAGGGCAAUUUCAUCGGUUGCCUUUCAACAUCUGCUCAUAUUAGAGAAUCCCUCGGGCGACACAAAGAACCAGGACCCUGUAACUAGAAGGCACGUCUUGGUCUUGCCACAGACAGAAAGAAUUGGGAUGGAAUCAAGUCUUGACAAGGUACAACAACACAAAGAUGAAAGAUUAAAAUAAAGAUGGUCCAGAGAAUAUCACUGCAAUCUAGGGACUAACAUAAGGCCAUAAUUAGGAGAAGCUCGGUGAGACAACCCAUGGAUUUUGAAGGAAUCGUUUUAUGAAAAAAAUAUCAUGCGUGGGCAGAACUGCCCUUAUCUACAGCCUAUAUGGCUGACAGUAUGCAUAAGUAUCAAUAUGUAUAGAGUGCAUAGUCCUACUUUACACGGACAUACAGCGCAAUUUUACGUAUCAUUGUUACCAAGAAGAGAGGGGGAAGGGGGUACCUUAGCCAAAUGCAAGUGUAUGUGUAUAUCUCCUCUGAGAUGCGAUCACAGAUUGCCAUUAAGUUCACUGCCUUCAGAUCGAAGAUCCUGUCAUUUUUUCUCUCCAAACAUGCUGCCAAAUCAUCAUGACAAUGGAGGAGAAAUCUGCCCGAACGAUGUGCAAUCAUGUUGUGCAGGUUUAUUGGAAGACACGUAAAAUUGCUUAAAUAUUUAGGUGGGUUGCAAAUAUUUAGUGUCAGGUAAGUAGCCCCUACAGUUUUCGGUGUACACACAAAAAAUAAUUCAACCAUGGCAUUGGCAAACACACAUACAAAAGCACAGAGAUAUCAUUAGCUCCGAAGGAAAAAUACUUAUAGAAGGGUACAUAUAAUAUGCAUUGAUCAUGUUAAUACACAGAGGAUAACAGUAAGUAAAAAUAUACUUAUAGAGCCUGUCUGAGUAGUAUGUGCAUAUGGCAGCUAUGAUACUUGAAGCAAAAUAGUACUCCCUCCGUCCGAAAAAGCUUGUCCGAAGCUUAUUUCUCAAAUGGAUGUAUCUAGCACCAAGUUAGUGCUAGAUAUUUUUCGGACAGAGGGAGUAGUAACAAAAACUAUUUACAGGGCCAUGCACAACAUGACUACGGAUAGCAUGAAGAUAGAAGUAGGGCUGUGUUACAUGGAAAACAUGAACAUUUUAUCCAUAGGGCCAUACUUUUGAGUAUUUAGCUUAGAAGCAUAAUCAGAUAUUUGGAUCAUGUGAUGAAAUUAUUCCCAAGAAUCAGAAGAUUUUUUUUUUAAAUAGCAUUGUCUUGCUAAGGUUACUUAAACAACUACGGAAUGGGCAUCAAACCCAAUGGAAGCCAAGAUAUACUGAUGUGAAGCUUUUAACACUGAACAUCUAAGGUAGAUAUCAAAUCUAUGGAUGCAAAGGAAAUACAAAAGGCAAUUUCAGGCUUUCAGCACUGGAAGUUUUGGAGAUACCAAGUGAUGCAUUCUUUGGAGAGUUGACGCAGACACAUAGCCAUUUACCGAUGUACAUCAAACCCAAUGGAAGCCAAGAUAUAUUGUCCUGGGUUUAGAUUUUGGCAGUUCAUAUAUUUCAUCCUACGCUUCAUACCUCACCAAAUAUCUAUGUUACAGAUAUGAGCAGUCUUAAGCCAAUCAAAGACAUUAUCCUUUUGGCACCUCUUGCUGAGCUUAGAGUUGCAAAAUCCAGAUCAUUUCAUCGUUGAUAUAUGUAAGCAUUCCAUAGAGCUCAGAUUUGCCACUUGCUUGGUCAGGCACAGCUGAACAUAAGAAACGAUUAAAUUUUCAUGACAGACUAAUAAGAACCGCAAACAAUUAGAAUUUUAAAAGAGAUUGCAAAAGAGUUCACAACAAUAGGCAUCUAUAUCAUGGAUGCAGAAUUUAAUAAGAACGGCAAACAAUUAGAAUUUAAAAAGAGCUCACUGAUCAGGCUAUUAAUCAAUAAAACUAAUGUGCGUAACUCUAAACUAAAUGGCAUAAACGGUACUAAGAACUACAGUAUGAUUAUUUUAACACAACAAAAUAGAUAGGUAAAAAUUAUCUUGAUUCGCACAUCUAUACUUGUUCAAAAAGCAGUAUAGCUCAAUGGGGCAGAUCCAUUUAUUGCUUCUAUAUUUCUGUUGUCAGUUGUGUCAACUGCAAAUAAAUAUACAGCUAGGAAGUUUCACAGGUUCCUUCUGCAGCAAGAGGCAGAAAAACACUUCGCCGAUGACAAAUAAACCUACAUUGCAAAUGAACCUAUCCUGUUGGCGAGCCUAUCCUACAUUGCAUAAGGUCAAAUAUAGUUGAAAACCACCUGAAGCAGAUUAUGUUACUUCAAAAUCAGAGUGGCUUUCAUUGGCGGCUGAUGCUUGACAAACCUACACUGCAGGAUAGGCUCACCAACAAAGUAGCCCAAUAUUUAUAGUUGAAAACCAGCUGAAGCAGAUUAUUGUACUUGAAAAGUACAGAGAAUAGCUCACUGAUACUCUCAAUUCACUUGCUGAAUGGCCUGAUCUCGUACUGUCUUAGCUCCAAUACAUCUUUCGUGCAUUUUAACAGGGGAAAACUUUGACUCAUUGAUUUCAAAAGAAUGACAUCUCAUGGUUUUGAACAGUAGACCAGAUACCCAUCUUGCAUCAUUAAACACAAUCAAAACGAAGAAUUCCAUCAGUAGACACAUCAAUUUGCCACUUAUGCUAGGAUGGACAACAAGCCUAAGGUGAUAGUUUGUACAAAGACUUACAGCUUAGCUGAAAGCAACAAUUUGGUCUGAAAUUCGUAACUUGAUGAAAUUCAUUUUGUGAACUGACAGUUUUGCAGUAGAUAUGAUAAGAUUAAUUCAAGACUAGUAGAUAGAUAUUAUAAGACUGAUUAAUUCCAUGUCCACUGAUUUAAUUCUGAAGAUUAAGGGCAGAUAUAAAUGAUAAAAAGUCAGUUGUUAAUCAUACUUUAGAGCCAAAUAGGUUAGUUGUUCAAUAUUUAAACAUUCCCAGCAAAAGUAUGGUCAACUACAGGAUUUAGGAAUUUGAAGAAUACAAGGAAAGAAAUCAGAAGGCAGGCAAUAAACAUAGAACCGGUAGAAAUAUAUCUUCUAGAAGCAUAAUCUAAAUAUUAUACACUGAACAAUUUGGGCAAAAAGACGACGAACUGAAAAAGGAACAUGCUAGACAAAAUUCGGCGUGAAAGCACAUCACAACAAUGCAGGAUAGUUCUUUUGCUUUCUGAUUUUCAGGGUCCUGGUUUCAACAGAAAAUUGGUUCCAACCACACAUUCAUUUCCGUCAUCUUAAACAGAAGAGGGAACCAUAAAUAAUUCCUGGACUUCUUAUCUUGAGAGAUUGCAGGCAAUGCUUUCUUCUCUAUCAAAUGGCAUCAACUCAUGGGGCUUAAGGAAUCAACAGAUAUCCAGUUAGGCAAAGAGCAAACAAACAUAAUUUACCAGAUUACCAUGCAGAGUGAAAACUUUUUCGCGCCAUAUGCAGCUACCAAUUCUCAUAGCCCGUUC